UAGCUCUUUAGUUCACUUUUUAUCACAGAAAAUGUUCUCUUUUGCAGAAUCCCUUGAUGGGAAAGAAAUUAAAGAAAUGGAAAGAUGUUUCUUAAUAAACUGGAAAGCCUCCAGAGCUGCCAGGAAAAAAAGCAAUGAAAGAAUGACAGAUGAACUUGCAGCCCGUGUACAACAUUCUGACUCUAGAACACCUUAUCCCACUCUUCCAUUUCACCACAGUGACUCUGUGAAAGAAAAAGCAAAAUAUUUAGAUUUGGCUCACGAGCAGAAAGUUGAAAGAAAAUCUCUGCCAAGAGUCCGUGAAAGAAGAAGUCAGAUUAAAACUCAGGUUGAGGAGGCAUCUGAAGUAAGUCAGAAGUAGUUUGAAUUCUAAAAGCCAGAAGUUACAGGAUGUGAAGACUUGGCCAUUAUUGAUUUUCUUUUUCUCCCUCAAAGCUUACAAAGAAAGAUACUGGUGUCUCUCUGGAUAUGUUAUCUGUGUCUUUUUAAUCUCAAAACCAGACAAAAUUAAGUCUGUUGAACUUAACACUUCUAAGAACAUUCAGAAAAAUAAGGGGUCUUCCUAUUUAUUUACAAGCAAUGCUUUGUGUCAAAAGCAUGUAAAAACAUCAGCACAUGCUAAGCUAAACUGUUUGCCUAGUUCUUAAACUUCUUCAAGACAUGAACUGGUUUUAGCCAGUGCCUGACCUAGUAGCUGCUUCUUUCNGAUACUCAGCAAUUGUACAGAGGCAUGUUCACAGUAAGCUCAUGGAGUCAUUAAGGUUGAAAAAGACCUCUAAGAUCAUGCAGUCCAACUGUAAACCUAACACUGCCAUAUUCACCACUAAACCAUGUCCCCAAACACUACAUCUACACAUUUUUUUAACACUUCCAGGGAUAGUGAUUCCAUAAUUUCCCUGGACAGCCUAUUCCAAUGCUUGACCCUCCUGUAAUAAAGAAUUUUUUCUCAACACCCAAUCUGAACUUCCCCUGGUGCAACUUCAGCCCAUUUCCUCUUCUCCUGUCACUUGUUACUUCAGAGAAAAAAAAUACCUGUCUACAACCUCCUUUCAAGCAGAAAGAAGCUAUUAGCACAUGAUUUUUGAGAAGAUCUGUAGUCCUAAAAAAUAAUUUCCAUCAUUUGUAUUUUUCCAAGUUCUGGUCAAUAAUGUGGAACAGUUAGCACAGGAGUCACGAGAAGAUUAAUGAUGUCUGUGCUGAUUAAUUUUUUGAUUGAGAAUAUAGUUCAUUAAUUUAACUUCAAAUUCUGUUUGUUUGGUUGCUUUGCACUAGUUUGAGUAAUUAAAUAAACGUUUAAGACUUCUGAUACAGGAAAAUUCCAAUCCUACAGAUAAGGAAAGGAAAGCCCAGAUUACAAAUUGCCCCUGAGAAAAAAACUUUCAUAAUGCAGUUUCUCUGUGUGAAUGGCAGGUCAGCAUCUUGUGCUUGUGGCCCUCUAUGAAAUAAAAAAGGAUUUUUUCCUGAAUAAGGAAAUCAGGAUUAUGUCUUUUUGCAUGGAAUGUUUCGUGUAUUUUGUUAACAUUUUUAUAAAGUCAAUUUGGUACAGAUGAUUAAAAUACAUUUAACUCCUGCAUGUAUUCUCCCCUUGCAUAACAAGAUCUUCAU
Molecule: long non-coding RNA, 1605 nt
Organism: Zosterops lateralis melanops
Lineage: Eukaryota; Metazoa; Chordata; Aves; Passeriformes; Zosteropidae
Source: Ensembl